AGUUGUUUAGCCGUAAAGAGAAUGUGACCAUUGUGGAAUGGUGGAACGGACAGAGAUGUUAAAUGAAAACCGUUGUUGGAAAACGGAGAAGACGUUGUGCGUUAAGAGUAGGCGAACCUAGUGAUGAUUAGGCGAUGGUUAUAAGAAUGGUGGGAAUACCUAUAGAGUUGUAUCAGUGUGAGCUAAACUUGUUAAUUAUUAGCAAGUGAACCUUUAAGGAAAGUAAACAUUUUGAAUAGUUCGAAGAGACUAGUCAAGAUUGGAAUAGAGAUUUUGUGUGGAUGAACUUUAGGAUGUUAUGACUUUAAGAUAGUCACGAGAUGCGAAUAAGAACUGAUCGAAUGGAGAAAAGUAUGUUUGUCACAAUGAGAAUGAUGAGGAACGCGACUAGUUGGAUUGUGUGCGACAAAUUAAGGACGUUGUUGGAAUCAACAAGAUAGAGAUCAUGGUUGUUUGGAAAUCAACUUUUGGAUAGUCACCGAGAUUGAAUAUGGACUUACUAGGUGAUCGAGAAGAGCCUAGGAAGGAUUUAUAGUGGUUGAGUGUGUUAGAGCCAAGUAAUCAUUUCUUGGAAAGAUUUGAGAAGCUUAGAAAUAGAUGUUAAGCUUAGAGAACCAUUAGUGUUGCAUAAUCAAGGAAAAGAAGUAAAUUCUCAUAGUAGAUGAGAAUGGAAUUAAGAGAUACCGUAGUAGGGUUAGUAAACUUGUGAAGGUGUCAAGUAGUAGAGGACGGUAUGAGUAGUAGAGUUAUUCCAAGAUAGAAGUGGGGUAACAAUUUGAUGGAUUUUGUAAGAGUUUGUCGAGAAGGAAAUAUUUUCAUUUGGAUAAUGAUCGGACAAUUGGUGUCGAGGUUGGACGGAACCUUAGAAGUCGAAAGGAAGCUAAGUACGAAGUGUCGUAUUUGGAUAAUUGGAAAUAAGGAAGUUAGCCUUUGGAAACGUGUCGAGCACGAGUAUUAGAGAGAUGUAAAGAAGUGACUUAUGUUGAGUAAAAGUUCGUUGGAAAAGUUAAUUAUGAGAUGGAAAAGUCGGUGGAGAUUAGAGAUGUUGGAUACAUCGUAAUCUAUUGGAAUAAUAAGGUCAUACCAUGUGGUAAGUGAUUUAAGGAUUUCGGAUAAUGUCAUCGUGGACGGUGGAACGACAGUGAGUCGAUGGGUGACUGCAGAUAAUAUUUUGGAUAAGAGCAUUUCGAUGGAGAAAUGAUAUUGGAAAUGACAUGUUAAGAAUCUUAGAAAUUGGCUAAGAGGUUAUUUGGAAAUAAAGUAAUUGUGUUGGAAUGCGACACAAUGAUUUGGAAAUUGUAAGAAUAAGGAAUUUAACGGUUAGAGAUGGUGAAUUUGACAAGUGUCAAGAAAAUUUGAAGAGUUGGUCAACAAAGGAAUGUUGAGGUUGUGUUGUCGACUAAAUGGUUGGGAUAAGAUUCAACAAAGUUAAGUGAUUAAGGAAAGAAGUAAAGGUUUAUGGAACUUGAAAAGUUGUGAAGUGUUCAACGGAGUGUCUUUCGAGGUGCAUUAGACGGAGUCGAAGUUGUUUUGGAGUAGUGUCGUGAGUACCCUAAGAUAUUAUUUGGACGUUUAAGUAGUUUGAUGAGAAUGGUUCAUACCGUCAUCGUGAUUGUUGACUAUCUAUCGACAAAUUGAGGGACUGGCCGUCCUUGAUCUAUUGUUGGUAGUAGACGAAAUUGUGAUGAUUGGGGUGAACUGAUUUUGUCAAACUUGGUUUGAUAUGGAAUUGGAACGUUUUGUUAGCAUGAAUCCGUAGAAAGGAUGAUUUUUGGACCGGAGAUUGUGUAAGAGAUCACAUCGGUUAAGGUAUUAUGAGUAGAAACCCGUUGGUUAGAAUGUAAGUUGGGAAUUAGAAAGUUGGAUUAGAGUUUUAUCUGAGGUUGUGUUUUAGUCGGAUAAUUUUCGAGGGCGAAAAUCUUUUAAGUGGGGGAGAGUUGUAACGACCCGAAAUUUAUUAUUCGUUAUUUAAUUAUUUUAUUACGCGGGGGCGUGAUUCAUAAUUAUUUUAUUAAGCAGCGAAUAAUUAAUUGGCGCGAACCUAAGUUAAUACG
RNAcentral lists this long non-coding RNA (2054 nucleotides) under Trifolium pratense (red clover). RNAcentral describes it as "long non-coding RNA (TPRA_LNC012034)". Lineage: Eukaryota; Viridiplantae; Streptophyta; Magnoliopsida; Fabales; Fabaceae. The record is from RNAcentral.